AACCUUAUCAUUUAGAGGAAGGAGAAGUCGUAACAAGGUUUCCGUAGGUGAACCUGCGGAAGGAUCAUUGUCGAUACCUGCAAGGCAGAACGACCCGCGAACUCGUUUGAACGCCCCGGGGGGGGCGAGGGGCGCGCUCGUGCCCCGGACCACCCCUGCCCGACGGGAGCGAUCCCGACGGGCUCAACGAACCCCGGCGCAAUCCGCGCCAAGGAACAGAAACGAACUAGCGCGCUCUUGCGGUGACCCGGAGACGGUGCUCUCCGCUCGGGCUGCGUGUUCUUUUAUAUGUCAAUACGACUCUCGGCAACGGAUAUCUCGGCUCUCGCAUCGAUGAAGAACGUAGCGAAAUGCGAUACUUGGUGUGAAUUGCAGAAUCCCGUGAACCAUCGAGUCUUUGAACGCAAGUUGCGCCCGAAGCCGUCAGGCCGAGGGCACGUCUGCCUGGGCGUCACACACCGUUGCCCCCCCCCAGACUCAUUCUCGAUCCUGGGGGCGGGCGUAAAUUGGCCUCCCGUGAGCUCUACUCGGAUCGCGGUUGGCCCAAAAAUCGAGUACUCGGCUGCUUUGCGCCGUGACAUUCGGUGGUUGUCGAAAAAAAUCGGUGCCCCGUCACGAGCGCCGCGGGCAUGUCCCGAGACACUCUGAGAGACCCCAUCGCGCUGCUCACGCAUCGCUUCCGACGCGACCCCAGGUCAGGCGGGGCUACCCGCUGAGUUUAAGCAUAUCAAUAA
This 734-nucleotide unclassified non-coding RNA is filed under the name Pteroceltis tatarinowii. RNAcentral describes it as "partial contains small subunit ribosomal RNA, internal transcribed spacer 1, 5.8S ribosomal RNA, internal transcribed spacer 2, and large subunit ribosomal RNA". The stretch from base 299 to 454 matches the Rfam family "5.8S ribosomal RNA". The record is from RNAcentral. Lineage: Eukaryota; Viridiplantae; Streptophyta; Magnoliopsida; Rosales; Cannabaceae.